RNAcentral lists this ribosomal RNA (503 nucleotides) under uncultured bacterium. Its description in RNAcentral is "partial 16S ribosomal RNA". It matches the Rfam family "Bacterial small subunit ribosomal RNA", at positions 29 to 507 of the family's 1533-position model. The record is from RNAcentral.
AACGAACGCUGGCGGCGUGCCUAACACAUGCAAGUCGAACGAGAAAGGGGCUUCGGCUCCGAGUAAAGUGGCGCACGGGUGAGUAACACGUGGGUAACCUGCCUCUAAGAUUGGGAUAACUCGUCGAAAGAUGAGCUAAUACCGAAUAAGACCACAGUUCCCGCGGGAACAGGGGUCAAAGGUAGCCUCUGCUUGCAAGCUAUCACUUAGAGAUGGGCCUGCGCACCAUUAGCUAAUUGGUAGGGUAACGGCCUACCAAGGCAAAGAUGGUUAGCGGGUCUGAGAGGAUGAUCCGCCAACCUGGGACUGAGACACGGGCCAGACUCCUACGGGAGGCAGCAGUGGGGAAUAUUGCGCAAUGGGCGAAAGCUUGACGCAUCAACGCCGCGUGAGUGAUGAAGGCCUUCGGGUCGUAAAGCUCUGUCGGGAGGGACGAAUGCUCCUGAGGUUAACAGCCUCGGGAGGUGACGGUACCUUCAAAGGAAGCACCGGCUAACUCUGUG